UACAGAGGGUGCGAGCGUUGUCCGGAAUCACUGGGCGUAAAGGGCGCGUAGGCGGCUUCUCAAGCGGGCGGUGAAAGCUCGGGGCUUAACUCCGAGUCUGCCGUGCGAACUGGGAGGCUUGAGUCUGGUAGAGGUCGAUGGAAUUCCGGGUGUAGCGGUGGAAUGCGUAGAGAUCCGGAAGAACACCGGUGGCGAAGGCGGCCGACUGGGCCAGUACUGACGCUGAGGCGCGACAGCGUGGGGAGCAAACAGG
RNAcentral lists this ribosomal RNA (253 nucleotides) under uncultured bacterium. RNAcentral describes it as "partial 16S ribosomal RNA". It matches the Rfam family "Bacterial small subunit ribosomal RNA", at positions 524 to 776 of the family's 1533-position model. The record is from RNAcentral.